AACAAGCAUAAGUGGCCCUGGGACAACAGGAAAAAGGAGAAGGAAAAAGUCAGACUGAGCUGCUACAGAGAAGAGGGUGAUCAAGGAGGACCAUUGUUUAGGUAGACAUCUGAAACAGAAGACUCUGGGCAAAAACAUCAAGUUUACCUAUCUCUUCAAGGACUGAGGGACUUUCCAAGAAAAGAUGGGGACAGAUGUAGGAGGUUAUUCAUGGACAUUAAAGUGGCAGUUUAAAGUAAUCCUUCUUAUUACCAUUAAAUAACAGUAACAUUUGGUAUAAACGAGAUAAUUCUUCCUAAAGUUCCAUGCAAAUUAUGUGACCGGUGAGAUGACUGGAGUGUCCUCUACUGCCACCUGCUGC
Vombatus ursinus (common wombat) is the source of this 361-nucleotide long non-coding RNA. RefSeq lists it as uncharacterized. Lineage: Eukaryota; Metazoa; Chordata; Mammalia; Diprotodontia; Vombatidae. The transcript is spliced from 3 exons. The record is from RefSeq and is a predicted model, not a curated record.